CGAAGGGUGCAAGCGUUGUUCGGAUUUAUUGGGCGUAAAGGGUGCGCAGGCGGGUUAAUAAGUCAGGUGUGAAAUCUCGGGGCUCAACCCCGAACGUGCGCCUGAAACUAUUAAUCUAGAAUACUAGAGAGGGAAGGGGAAUUUCUCAUGUAGGGGUAAAAUCCGUAGAGAUGAGAAGGAACACCAGAGGCGAAGGCGCCUUCCUGGAUAGUGAUUGACGCUGAGGCACGAAAGCGUGGGGAGCAAACAGGAUUAGAUACCCUGGUAGUCCACGCCGUAAACGAUGAGCACUAGUUGUGGCAGUAAUUAACGACUGCCGUGACGUAGCUAACGCAUUAAGUGCUCCGCCUGGGGAGUACGGUCGCAAGACUA
This 372-nucleotide ribosomal RNA is filed under the name uncultured organism. RNAcentral's name for it is "bacterial SSU rRNA". It matches the Rfam family "Bacterial small subunit ribosomal RNA", at positions 526 to 896 of the family's 1533-position model. The record is from RNAcentral.